GCUCUGCUUAGAGCUCUGCAGUGGAAAACCCGUUCAGAGGCAGAUAAGAAAAACAACAGCGAACAGCGAGUGGAAAAUUGUUAUGUUGCAACUUCAAAAAAAAAAAAAACAAGUUCCGUUAGUGCCUUUCCUUUGUUUUGGGGUUUCCUUUUACCGUCCGUCCCCCUUCUUUUUAAAAGCAUUAUGAAAUCCGAAAAUAAUUUAACACUUACAUGAAGUGUAAUAACGGAAAGCACAUGGCUAAUGUUAGACUCCCUCUUCCACUUCUACUUCUUCUUCCUCGCACAGCUGAUUGUGAAUAACAGGUUACAACCAGAAAGAGACAGACAGCGACAGCGAGAGAUGGAGAGUUCAAAAGCAAAGUUGAUAAAUGACACAAAUGCCCCAUGCAAAGCAAAUGCAGUGCCACAAUUAGAAAAUGUGUGUCAAUUAUAUUAACAAAAAUAAAAAAAAACUCGAGUAGUUUUCCUCCUGA
Drosophila ananassae is the source of this 475-nucleotide long non-coding RNA. RefSeq lists it as uncharacterized. The record is from RefSeq and is a predicted model, not a curated record. The transcript has 2 exons. NCBI's taxonomy places the organism in Eukaryota, Metazoa, Arthropoda, Insecta, Diptera, Drosophilidae.